RNAcentral lists this ribosomal RNA (473 nucleotides) under Escherichia coli. RNAcentral describes it as "bacterial SSU rRNA". It matches the Rfam family "Bacterial small subunit ribosomal RNA", at positions 1 to 470 of the family's 1533-position model. The record is from RNAcentral. Lineage: Bacteria; Pseudomonadati; Pseudomonadota; Gammaproteobacteria; Enterobacterales; Enterobacteriaceae.
AAAUUGAAGAGUUUGAUCAUGGCUCAGAUUGAACGCUGGCGGCAGGCCUAACACAUGCAAGUCGAACGGUAACAGGAAGAAGCUUGCUUCUUUGCUGACGAGUGGCGGACGGGUGAGUAAUGUCUGGGAAACUGCCUGAUGGAGGGGGAUAACUACUGGAAACGGUAGCUAAUACCGCAUAACGUCGCAAGACCAAAGAGGGGGACCUUCGGGCCUCUUGCCAUCGGAUGUGCCCAGAUGGGAUUAGCUAGUAGGUGGGGUAACGGCUCACCUAGGCGACGAUCCCUAGCUGGUCUGAGAGGAUGACCAGCCACACUGGAACUGAGACACGGUCCAGACUCCUACGGGAGGCAGCAGUGGGGAAUAUUGCACAAUGGGCGCAAGCCUGAUGCAGCCAUGCCGCGUGUAUGAAGAAGGCCUUAGGGUUGUAAAGUACUUUCAGCGGGGAGGAAGGGAGUAAAGUUAAUACCUUU